UUGUAUAUUGUAAUGUUUUUAAUCUGAUCAGAGAAUUCCUUGUUUUCCCCAUAUUUAAGGAAAGUCUGCUAUUGAAAGGUUCCAAAUAGUCUUAAUAAUAAAAUUCCAACAGGUAUCACAAUGUCUCUGGUUAAGAUAAGCAAUUGAAUAUGCACAGUUCCAGAUCAAAUGUGAGCUUUUCCUUUAUGCCCAACACUCACUGAAGUCAGUGACUGUUCAGUUGAGUUUAUCUGGAGGGGAGAUAAAAGUUUCCUG
Molecule: long non-coding RNA, 255 nt
Filed under: Homo sapiens (human)
Lineage: Eukaryota; Metazoa; Chordata; Mammalia; Primates; Hominidae
Description: non-protein coding lnc-VLDLR-6:1
Source: RNAcentral